GGAAGACCUUGAGUCUUGACGUCUGUCUUGAGAAAACAAGCGGUUAAACAUGGCUGGAGUUUUCAGUGGAUGUCAGAUUGUGCUGGAUCUUACAACAAGUGUUGCCUUCAAGAAGAAGGUGGAAAUAAAGAAGAAAAUUAUAGAAAAUGGAGGAAUUGUGUCAUUUAUUGUUACCAAAAAGAGUACACAUGUUGUUGGCAAUGAUCCUGAAAAGUAUGACAUUUCUUACAAAUGUCAAAUGGCUGCCAAGUAUCGGAUUCCAGUUGUCUCCCCUGAAUUUAUAUGGAGUGCCAUAAAAAUGGGAAAACUGCCAAAUUCUGAUGACUACAUAAUUGGGGGAAGAAGCAAAAAAUCUGAUUUUAAAUCUGGGAAAAUUACAGCAAAUCUCUCAAACACAGCUGAGAAGAAGAAGGCAAAGUCUUUGUUUUCUAUCAAAGGCACCAAAGUUUGGAAAUUUGGUGACAAGGAUGCACCAUUUUUUGAUGAGACAACUUUUGAGAUUGCUAAAUAUGCAGCAUUUCAGGGUUAUGACAAGAAAUCGGAAAGCCAUGUGUUUCAUGUGCUAGAGCUCCAGGCUGCCGACGUGACAUCAAAGAAUGCUGAGAACAGGGAAUUCAAGUUCCGGGUUUUCACACACUACGGCUCCAUCCAGAAGAUUCAGGAAGGUAACCCAGGAAACCAGGAGUGUCGGUACGCUCAAAACGCUGAUGUGGCACUUGCUAUAUAUGGUCAGCUUCACAAGGACCUCAGUAAUCCUACAAGAAAGAUGGAACUUGUUCAAGGAAGUUUACCAAGAGGCAUUGGUUCUGCUAAACUCCAAAAGAUGGUUUCCGAGAUGAUGGUUGAUGAUGAAUCACUAGCGCCCCCUGUUGUUGACCUAAUUGAACACAUUUGGCGAGAGGCUGCGGGUGAGGUUGAAGAGAUUAUUGCAACUCCAGUGAGCAACAUCAAGGUGGAACAGGUUGAAAAGGCUGAAGCCAUCUUGCUUCAAAUCAGAGAAGCAUUUGACAAAUCGUCUGAGGUUCAGAAAUUGCUUGUUGAUUUCUAUGACACUCUAAAACAUACCAGCGAACAGCCACAAAACACAACAGUCACAAAGGCCUGGCUAGCAAAGAAGCAAGAUCUUUGUCAGCUUAUUAAGGAUAUGGUCUCUGUAAACGAGGCUACGAACUGGUCAACCCGGAGCAGCGUGGAGGCAAAGUAUCGAGCACUGAGGUGCAGGAUUGGUCAUCUGGAAACCCAUGACAGCCGGUAUAAAACGGUCAAACAUCUUGUCAUGUCAUCAAUCAUUGGUGAUCUCACAGUUGAAAUUAAAUCCAUCUAUGAAGUUCAGAGGCCGAUUGAAGAUAACAGUUUCCUCCAAGAAAUGUCCAACAAAAGGCUGCUUUUUCACUCAUCCAAGACUGAAAACUUUGUUGGAAUAUUUUCAAGAGGACUGUUGCUACCGAAGAUAGUUGUUGAUGAUUUUGGUGGAACAAGAACGGAUGCCGGCACGUUGGGCAGUGGGGUAUACUUUGCCAGUGCUGCCAGUACAAGUGCAAAGUACUCUCAUCCCAGCAAGACCAAAGGGACACGACUCAUGCUUGUGAACGAAGUUGCUUUGGGUGGCUGUCUGGAUGUGUUUGAAUACAACACAGAGCUGAAGGAACCACCAGAAGGCUAUAACAGUGUUCAUGGAGUCAGGAAGAAGCACAGCAUUGAUUCACAGUUUAAGGAUGAUGAGUACGUGGUGUACUCUCUCAAUCAACAACGGAUCAAAUAUUUGGUUGAAUUUGCUUUGGCUGGAGACACAUUCACCAGCAUCAAUGUGUCUGAGACAGAGACAGAUAUGGAAGACGUUUCAUCGGGAAUCACUGAUAUAGAUUUACGAGAUGUGCAAGGCGUUGAGGAUCCGCUGUCUAAAGUGAAGGCUGGUUUGAUAUGCGACAAACACGAGAAUGCAGUUGACCUUAGAGGUGUUCAUAUUCGGGCCAGGCUUGUCGAUCUGGCUGCGGAGGUGAUAGUGAUGCAGGAGUACUACAACAACCUCGAUGAUGCUGUUGAAGCCAAAUUUAUUUUCCCGCUCGACGACAUGGCCGCGGUGUGUGGGUUUGAAGCAUUCAUCAACGGCAAACACAUCAUUGGAGAAGUGAAGGAGAAGGAGAUGGCUCACAGGGAAUACAAGAAAGCCAUCAGUGAGGGACAUGGAGCCUACCUCAUGGACCGCGACGAAGAGACACCCGAUAUUUUCACAGUAAGUGUGGGAAACCUGCCACCGGGAGCCUGCGUUCUCAUCAAAAUCAUCUACGUUGCCGAACUACAGGUGGAAGGGGAGGUAAUCAACUUCCGGCUGCCUGGAAGUGUGGCACCGUGGAAGGAAGAUUCAGCAACAAAAGAAACAACACAGACCGAGUUGGACACACACAAGGUUGAGACAGGGAAAACGACAGUCCAGGUUUCCAUUGACAUGCCAUUUGACAUACACAGUCUGGAGUGCCCUACACACAAGCUCAGGAUUAAGAAAACUGCCACAAAAGCUGUAGUUAAAAUGAAAGAAGGCCAGUCUUUUAAAGAUGGCUUCCAGCUGCUGAUUGGUCUAGCAGAAAUACACGUGCCCAGGAUGUGGGUUGAGAAUCAUCCCACGAAAUCAGAUCACCAGGCCUGCAUGUUGACAUUUUACCCCGAGUUUGAAGCAGGAGAGCAGGAAGAAGUAGAAAUUGUUUUUCUGUUGGAUCUGUCUAACUCAAUGAAGGGCCAGGCACUUGAAGAUGCCAAGAAGAUUCUGCUUCUCACACUAAAAAACCUGCCAUCUCACGCCUUGUUCAACAUCGUAGUGUUCGGAACAGCCUACAGGGAGCUGUUUCCUGUGAGUGAAACCAACACACCAGCCAAUGCUUCUCGGGCUCACCAGUUUGUUAUGAACUGUUCAGCUAACUUGGGGAACACUGAGGUUUUCAGGCCACUGCAUUCGAACUACCUCCUUUCCUCGGAGAGUUCCAUCAAAAACAUCUUUCUCAUUAGUGAUGGCCAUAUCAACAAUGAGGACAUUGUCCUGAAUGCAGCUCUCAGCCAUUCCACACACACCAGGAUUUUCACUUUUGGAGUCAGCUCAACAUCCAAUGUGCACUUACUGAGAUCUUUAGCAAGAGUUGGAGGAGGAGCAUUUGAAUUCUUUGACAGAAAAGCCAAGUCUAAGUGGGAGAACAAGGUAAAAAAUCAGUUAUCAAAGGCAGCUCAGCCAGGUCUGACAUCUGUGAGUGUUGAGUGGCGACAGUUUGAUGAAGACCCUGCCAGCCUACCCCAGGCCCCUCGACAAAUUACUGCGCUCUUUAGUGGGUCACGACAAGUCGUCUACGGAUAUGUUCCAAACUGUACCAUGGCCACAUUGAAAGCUGUAGUUGGUGGACAAGAAGUGUGUACAGUUGUAUCAACCUCAGAUCUUGGCAUUACAAGGGGACUGACUGUUCACAGGCUGACUGCCAGGGCCAUAAUCCGAGACUGGGAAGAUGGCAUGCUUUCUUCAGACCGCACCAGACAUGAGAUUCUAAAAAUGAACUUGAAACCAUACAUUAUUGACUUGAGCACUGAAUAUUCCAUUGUGACACAAUUCACAAGCUUUGUGGCAGUAGAAAAAAGAGAUGAGGAUGAAAAAGCAGGCAAGUGGACAGUAACUGGACCAACCAUCUCAGAGCUGGUAUCCCAGGAAGUGGUUGAUAUGUUGCCGUACAUGUCGUGGGAACUGGAUGCGAAAGCAACCAAAGAGGACCAUUAUGAGGAGAUGAUUUCCAAAUUAGAAUUGUCUGUGAAAAACUGUACUGAUGAAAAGACUGCAACAGAAAUUUGGAAUGAAGUCCAGAAAAAACUUGAGCCAAGUGAUCCCAAAAUUAUUGAGCUGGCAGAAUCCAUUGGCCAUUCAUUACACAACCUUGGACAUGAGGACAAAGCGAUAUCUGUGUGCCAAGCCGCAUUUGAUGCAGCUGUUGCUGAGCUAGAUACUCUAAGUGAGGAAAGCUACAUGGUGAAAACGAAGAGCUUGAACAAUUUGGCUAAAUUUCUUUCUGAAUUAAAGGAGAUGCAGAGUACAGAAGAAAGUGAAGAUGAGAGUGAAGAAGACAGUUCUUCAAUGUUGGUCGAAGAUGAUGCGAGACAUGUGAUUCUUACAACACUAACAGGAAAAUCUAUCGGCUUUGAUUUGACUCCUUUCAACACCAUCGCUGAUUUCAAAGCAAAGAUCCAAGAUGCUGAAGGAAUUCCACCCGACCAGCAGCGACUGGUGUUUGGGGGCAAACUGCUCGACAAUGAUGACGGAACUCUGGCUGACUAUAGCAUUACUGAUUAUUCCACAGUGUUCCUAGUUUUAAGGUUGAGAGGAGGACCAGCAGAGCAAGGACCAGGAUAUCAAGGAGCAGACAACAAGUCUAAAGAACAUGAAGAAGAUGACGGCAACAUGGAAUUGGAAUCAGAAGAUGAGUCGGAAGAGGAAUCAGACGAGAGAGAGGAAUCUGCUGAAUGGCUGGCCAGGAUUUCAUUGUUUGAUUCAGAUAAAAAAUCCAAGAGAUUGAGAUCAAGGUCAAGGUCAAGAUCAAGAUCAAGAGAGUUAAUUAAAACAGGAAAGGACAUCUAACAUGCCCAAUGCAUCUGUCCGCUGUUGCUAUUUCUCGCUCCAGCCAUUGCACCACAACUGGUACAUCAAAGGCUGUGACGGAAGGGAAGAGGAAUCAGAAGAGGUAUCUGAAGAGGAGAUGGGGUUUUCAUUCUUUGGAGGGGAGGAAGAACCAAUGUCGACAGAACAAAUGAAGAUGCCAUUUGAUAUAUCUGAGAUAGAUGAAUCACAACUGAG
Molecule: unclassified non-coding RNA, 4819 nt
Filed under: Gigantopelta aegis
Lineage: Eukaryota; Metazoa; Mollusca; Gastropoda; Neomphalida; Peltospiridae
Description: protein mono-ADP-ribosyltransferase PARP4-like, transcript variant X2
Source: RNAcentral